RNAcentral lists this long non-coding RNA (2315 nucleotides) under Heterocephalus glaber (naked mole-rat). RNAcentral's name for it is "lncRNA (ENSHGLG00000041187.1)". The record is from RNAcentral. Lineage: Eukaryota; Metazoa; Chordata; Mammalia; Rodentia; Bathyergidae.
CGCGCAGUCGCAUUCCUGCUUCCUCGCGACCUUGGCGGAUCGCGCCUGCGCAGUGGGGAGCAGCUCGCGCCUAGGCUUUGGGCUGGCUGCAGUCUCAGAGAGAAGGCGGCCGAAGUGGCUGUCUCAUUUAAGAUGAGGCUUUUGCUGCUGCUUCUGAUGGCGGCGUCGGCAGUGGUCAGGAGCGAGGCGUCGGGCAAUCUGGGCGGCGUGCCUAGCAAGAGACUGAAGAUGCAGUACGCCACGGGGCCGCUGCUCAAGUUCCAGAUUUGUGUUUCCUGAGGUUAUAGGCGGGUGUUUGAGGAGUACAUGAGGGUUAUUAGCCAGCGGUACCCAGACAUCCGAAUUGAAGGAGAGAAUUACCUCCCACAACCAAUUUAUAGAUGUACCUGUGUGGUCUAAGCUGGAAUCUGGUCAUCUUCCUUCCAUGCAACAACUUGUUCAAAUUCUUGACAAUGAAAUGAAGCUCAAUGUGCAUAUGGAUUCAAUCCCACAUCAUCGAUCAUAGCCCCACCUAUCAGCACUGAAAACUUUUACAUUAAGGAAUUUUUGCAAGAGCAGCGCGACUGACAUUAUGAAGGCCUGUACUGAAGACAGCAAGCUGUUAGUACAGACCAGAUUCUUUUUUGGCAGGCUCGUUGUACCUCUUGGAAAACCUCAAUGCAAGAUAGUUUUUCAGUGCUGGCACAUUUUGGAAUUCUGCACAUUCAUGGAGUGCAAUAAUACUGUAUACUCUCCUAUCCCCAUUCAUCUAGUUAAUGUUUCUUUUUAAAAUGUAGGUAUUAUUACUACUUAUAACUUUUCCUCAGUCAUAUUUAAAAAAGGAGAAAUUGAAUUACAGUUUGUUUUUUUUCUCAAGAUGUCUGUUAAGUCUGUUUUGCUUUUUUAAAUUAAUUCUUGUUUUUUUACAGUUUAAAGUCAAUGUUUUGGGGAAUACAGCUCAAGUUCCCAAAUACUUUAUAAAGUUUAUCAGACAUUUCUUAAUUUGGCCAUGUUCAAUUAUAGUUUUCAAAAUAUUGCUGGUUAUGAACAAUGCAUUAUAAGAUUAUGGGGAGAGGGUCCAAUAUCUAGAGUACUCAACCAAUUUGUGUGUAUGUGUGUAUGCGUGUGUGAUACCAGAGAACUACUACAAAACCAACUGCUUUUUAAAUCCUAUUGUGUAGUCAAGUGUCUUGCCUUGACCAGUCUACUGAGUUGAAUUAACUGGGCCUUUACCUUUAUACUUAACUAAAUAAAAAACUAAGCAGAUGUCAGUUAAAUGAGAAAGUUUCAGUUUAUUGUUCAGUGUACCUGUUAACAUCAUAUUUAAUGAUUGCCUAAUUUUUUUUUAAAUUUACAGAUAAUAUCCACAAGGAACAAACUUUAGAUUCAUACACAAAUAAUAAGUUCAUUUACCAUUUUUAGGAUAAAUGAAACUCACCUCACUAAAUAUAAGUUCACUUGAACCUCUUUACAAUAUUAAUAUUGCCAGGUGUGGUGGUGUACACCUGUAAUCCCAGCACCAGGGAGGCUGAGGCAGGAAGAUUGCUGUAAGUUCAAAGCCAGCUUGGGCUAGCAUAGUUCAAGGAUAGCAUGAACUAUAUAGUGAGACCCUCUCAAAACAAUACAAAACAGAAAAGCCCCCAAAACAUUGUUAUUAGGUGAACAGAGAUCUCUUGUUCAGUAACCUAAUUUGUCUAGAACAUAUAUCAAAUUGAUUGAUUGAUUGAUUUUUUAGGCAGGGUCUCACUGGUGUAGUCCAGGCUGGCCCUGAACUCAAUAUGUAUCCCAGGCUGAUCUCAAACUUGGGAUUGUCCUGCUUCAGCCUUCUGAGUGCUGGGAUUACAGGCAUCCGCCACCAUGCCCAGCAAGAAUUUUAUUGUAUUUAAAAAACAAAAUUGAAAAAAUUUUAAAUUCAAUUUUAUGCAUUGUUCCAGAGUUCUAAAAGGAGUUUUCUAAAAGCUUAAAUUGAUAAAAACUAUAAGAAUUAUUUAACAGAAAUAGGACCAUAAUGUACAAAAAAAGUUACAUAUCAGCAGCAAUGACAUACUUCAGCUUCCAUAAAAUAAAGUAGUAGAGGCAAAAGUUGCCCUAGAUUUGUUGGUGGAAAUUAAGAGAUUUAAGGAAAAGCUGUGAGGUAGUAAAAUAUUGGUUUCACCUAAUUCUUUAGUAUUAUAUGAUAUCUAACUUUAAACUUGGUCACUGAAUAUUUACUGAAUGUAUAUGAGAUAAUGACCCAGAUUGUGUCAGCCUCAAGGUGGAACAUACUGGGAAUUCUAGAUUAUGGGAAUUUAGUCUAAUGAUUCACUGCAGAAAAUUGAUUAAAUGAUUGUCCUUUU